This 492-nucleotide ribosomal RNA is filed under the name marine sediment bacterium ISA-1243. Its description in RNAcentral is "bacterial SSU rRNA". It matches the Rfam family "Bacterial small subunit ribosomal RNA", at positions 38 to 525 of the family's 1533-position model. The record is from RNAcentral.
GGCGGCGUGCUUAACACAUGCAAGUCGAACGAUGAUGACUGAAGCUUGCUUUGGUUUGAUUAGUGGCGAACGGGUGAGUAACACGUGAGUAACCUGCCCCUCACUUCGGGAUAACCAUUGGAAACGGUGGCUAAUACUGGAUAUGACACAUGGCUGCAUGGUCUGUGUGUGGAAAGAAGUUUGGUGGGGGAUGGGCUCGCGGCCUAUCAGCUUGUUGGUGGGGUGAUGGCCUACCAAGGCUUUGACGGGUAGCCGGCCUGAGAGGGCGACCGGCCACACUGGGACUGAGACACGGCCCAGACUCCUACGGGAGGCAGCAGUGGGGAAUAUUGCACAAUGGGGGAAACCCUGAUGCAGCGACGCCGCGUGGGGGAUGAAGGCCUUCGGGUUGUAAACCCCUUUCAGUAGGGAACAAGGCCAUGAUUGUUGUUGUGGUUGAGGGUACUUGCAGAAGAAGCGCCGGCUAACUACGUGCCAGCAGCCGCGGUAAUA